AUGGUGAAGGCAGCCUCCUGGAUAACACUGACGCUCAUGCACGAGCGUGGGGAGCAAAACAGGAUUAGAUACCCUGGUAGUCCACGCCUCAACUAUGUCAACUAGCUGUUGGGGCCUUCGGGCAUUUGCAGCGCAGCUAACGCGUGAAGUUGACCGCCUGGGGAGUACGGUCGCAAGAUUAAAACUCAAAGGAAUUGACGGGGACCCGUUGUCAAGCGGUGGAUGAUGUGGAUUAAUUCGAUGCAACGCGAAAAAAAACCUUACCUACCCUUGACAUGUCUGGAAUGCCGAAGAGAUUUGGCAGUGCUCGCAAGAGAACCGGAACACAGGUGCUGCAUGGCUGUCGUCAGCUCGUGUCGUGAGAUGUUGGGUUAAGUCCCGCAACGAGCGCAACCCUUGUCAUUAGUUGCUACGAAAGGGCACUCUAAUGAGACUGCCGGUGACAACCGAGGAAGGUGGGGAUGACGUCAAGUCCUCAUGGCCCUUAUGGGUAGGGCUUCACACGUCAUACAAUGGUCGGGACAGAGGGUCGCCAACCCGCGAGGGGAGCCAAUCCCAGAAACCCGAUCGUAGUCCUGGAUCGCAGUCUGCAACUCGACUGCGUGAAGUCGGAAUCGCUAGUAAUCGCGGAUCAGCAUGUCGCGGUGAAUACGUUCCCGGGUCUUGUACACACCGCCCGUCACACCAUGGAGUGGGUUUUACCAGAAGUAGUUAGCUCAACCGCAAGGGGGGGCGACUACCACGGUAGGAUUCAUGACUGGGGUGAAGUCGUAACAAGGUAA
RNAcentral lists this unclassified non-coding RNA (782 nucleotides) under uncultured Bordetella sp. Its description in RNAcentral is "partial 16S-23S ribosomal RNA intergenic spacer". It matches the Rfam family "Bacterial small subunit ribosomal RNA", at positions 712 to 1499 of the family's 1533-position model. The record is from RNAcentral. Lineage: Bacteria; Pseudomonadati; Pseudomonadota; Betaproteobacteria; Burkholderiales; Alcaligenaceae.